Molecule: long non-coding RNA, 331 nt
Organism: Peromyscus eremicus (cactus mouse)
Lineage: Eukaryota; Metazoa; Chordata; Mammalia; Rodentia; Cricetidae
Exons: 2
Source: RefSeq, a predicted model, not a curated record
CCAGGCACCACUCAGGAAACUUCUCUUUCUGUUCUCUAACUUCCCCAAGAUCCUGUCAGGCAUGGAACUCUCUGUAUCCUCUGUGGACACCCACCUACCUGAGGCAGGGCCUAGGAACACACAGGACUCGGCUCUCUCAAGAGAUUCCAAGUGGACUGAGGACAGGAAGCCUUCCUUCAAUGAGCACUGAAAGUCUCCAGAGGCUCUCCUCCACACUGCUGACAUCUUCCAUGAUGAAGCCUAGAAGAAAAUCACUCUCCCUGCCACCUGGAGACAAGCCUGUCUAUGCUCUUCCAAAUCUCCCUCUCUACAAAGCUUCCUGGAGACUUUU